Molecule: RNA transcript, 1373 nt
Organism: Apis mellifera (honey bee)
Lineage: Eukaryota; Metazoa; Arthropoda; Insecta; Hymenoptera; Apidae
Gene: Jhbp16
Exons: 5
Source: RefSeq, a predicted model, not a curated record
CAGAUGUAUGGUCGAGAGUGAAAGUGUAAGCAUCGUACGUACAGUUUUGUUAGCCUAGAAUUGUGAUUACCUUGAAGAAAACUGAAUGCUGUUGGUUCGUUCGAUUAUCGACCAAGUACAUUAUCGAUGAACGAGAUGCUAUUGUCGAUAAAAAUUUCCGGAACGUUGCUGCUUUUCCUGUGCUCAUCAUCGAUAGGAAUAGAAUUUGAGGAUCAUUUCAAGGAUUGCCACCCGAAUGUCUCGGAUUUCGACGAGUGUAUUCAAUAUGCAUUAAACGAGAUUCGACCUUACUUUAAGACAGGUGUUCCCAAAUUCGGAGCACACAUCCCCUUCGAGCCAUUUUUUAUCAAAAAAGCUCGCACGUCACGAGGUACACCCAACUUCGGCUUCGUCAUUACAAUGACCGACGUCGAGGAAGUUGGAUGGGAUCUGAGCAAAGUGAUCAAGUUCACCAGCGAUUUGAAGAACUACAAGGUGGUGUAUACCCAAAAUUUCCCGGACAAACGGCUAAAGGGUGGAUACGAAUUCAAAGGAUCUACGUUUAAUUCUACUAUAAACAACAGAGGAACGUUCACGUUACAGCUUUACGAUUUAGUUCAAACGACCACGGUUAUCGCGAAACCAGGAUCAAAGGUUUACGUGAGAGUGGAGUUAAACUCGAUCAGAGACAUGAAGUUACACGUAACGAAUUUGUUCUUCGGCAUCAAAUUGAUCGAGAAUUUUAUCGACAUAGUGAUAAAUAACACGUGGAAACAAUUCUUCAAGAUAAGCACACCUAUAAUUAACGAGCUCAUCUCUGACGGAUAUUUCGAAUUGUUCGACACCACGUUCCGCAAUUUUCCAUUCGAGAAAAUUAUCAAGCCAUAUCCUUACGAGGAUUAAAGAGAUCCGUUUAAAAAGAUUUCCUUUUCUCUUUGAGGCGAACGAGACGAAAGAGACAACUAGGCUCUGUCGUGUAGGGAUAAUGGGACGGAAGAGAAUUAAGUAUGAUUUAUUCAAAAGGUUCUUGGAAAUCGGACGAAUCUUCCCUUCAUCUCCCUCGUCGAGGUAUCGAGCAUUUUACGAACACUUUUCUUCUUCUGUCAGGAUAGGCUGCUCGCCUUGAGAUUCUGACGGUCUACGACCUCGCAUUCUCGUGGUACGUCGACUCUACGUCGAUAAUUUGCGUUCAAAGGAAGACAUUAGGUAACGUAAUGCUCGCAUCGAGAAUAUAUAUAUGUAUCUUGGCGGUCAUUGUCUUCUUUGAAGAGUAAUUGGAGCAUCUUGCGCAUCGUGAAUGAAUACGUUCGUGGAUCACGUGGAUUUCUUUCACGUUCCUGUUUUAUUAUUAUAUUUAAUGUGUAACAAUGAUUUUCAAAUCUUCUUUUUUUUUA